This 172-nucleotide small RNA is filed under the name Eshraghiella crossota CAG:259. Its description in RNAcentral is "Butyrivibrio crossotus CAG:259 Clostridiales-1 RNA". It matches the Rfam family "Clostridiales-1 RNA". The record is from Rfam by way of RNAcentral. Lineage: Bacteria; Bacillati; Bacillota; Clostridia; Lachnospirales; Lachnospiraceae.
UGAUGUAAAGUGUCAAUAAGUCUUAAUUGCGAUUGUGCCUGCACAAAUGAGCAAUUCAGACUUAUUGACACGCCGAACACCGAAAACGGAAUAAAAUGCUUUGAAUAUGGCAUUUUAUGGGAGUUUGAGGUGGGCGGUAAUUGCGCAGCAAUGCAGCAAUUCAUAUACAUCA